Molecule: ribosomal RNA, 330 nt
Filed under: Bradleystrandesia sp. NCOS10
Lineage: Eukaryota; Metazoa; Arthropoda; Ostracoda; Podocopida; Cyprididae
Description: SSU rRNA
Rfam family: Eukaryotic small subunit ribosomal RNA
Source: RNAcentral
GUUACGGACAGGUGGUUCACCUCACGGUGCUACUGCCUGGACCGGACCUAUUGCUGGUUCCUCUGGAGUGCCCUUCACUGGGUGCUUCAGGAGACCAGAGCGUUUACUUUGAAAAAAUUGGAGUGCUCAAAGCAGGCGAUUGCCUGUACAGUCGUGCAUGGAAUAAUGGAAAAGGGUCUCGGUGCUAUUUUGUUGGUUCUCGGCACUCGAGGUAAUGGUUAAAAGGAACACUUGGGGGCAUCAGUAUUGCGACGUUAGAGGUGAAAUUCUUAGAUCGUCGCAAGACUAACUACUGCGAAAGCAUUUGCCAAGAAUGUUUUCAUUAAUCAA